AAGUCGUAACAAGGUUUCCUUCCCGGCGGUGCACCCGCUGAAGCCUCCCGCCGCGACUCUAAACAAACGCGUCAGUCCGCCCCGCGGGCGACACCACGAUCCUACUGGGACCUCGGCACCCGUCCCCGACGGUGUUGAAACCAGUGGCCUGUCYCAACAGGUUCACAGAUCAGACAGUGGUGGCCAAGCUGUUGGUUAAGAUAUGACCGGUCUCCGCUGUGACCAGCGGGAGAGAACACGUUCCGUAGGUGAACCUGCGGAAGGAUCAUUA
RNAcentral lists this ribosomal RNA (271 nucleotides) under Polysporina subfuscescens. Its description in RNAcentral is "partial 18S ribosomal RNA". Lineage: Eukaryota; Fungi; Ascomycota; Lecanoromycetes; Acarosporales; Acarosporaceae. The record is from RNAcentral.